RNAcentral lists this long non-coding RNA (298 nucleotides) under Carica papaya (papaya). RNAcentral's name for it is "long non-coding RNA (CPAP_LNC013716)". Lineage: Eukaryota; Viridiplantae; Streptophyta; Magnoliopsida; Brassicales; Caricaceae. The record is from RNAcentral.
CGGUCAUACCAAUCAUAGUGGUCCUAAUAGAUAGUCUAUAGUCAUGAUAUUACUUAGCCACGGGUGGCCCCUACAGAUAGUGUGAUACCACUCUCAUCAGAGGGCACGCCAUUAUCUAUUAAGAGCAAUCCUCUUAUAUCUUUUCAGACUAAAUAGGAGAGGGGGAAAACAGCUACCCCGAAGGGCAAGGGGAACAAAUACCCCUCAAACAUAGAAAGCCUAACGAGACACUUGAUGCAAUAUGCAUGUCAAUACAAAUACACUUCGAACCAUACAGGCUUUAUUCCACUUUUCUCUU